CUAAGAAUAUUCCGCAAUGGACGGAAGUCUGACGGAGCGACGCCGCGUGGAUGACGAAGGCCGAAAGGUUGUAAAGUUCUUUUGCUGGGGAAGAAUAACCGCAGGAGGGAAUGCCUGUGGGAUGACAAGAACCGGCGAAUAAGCCCCGGCCAACUACGUGCCAGCAGCCGCGGUAAUACGUAGGGGGCAAGCGUUGUCCGGAUUUACUGGGUGUAAAGGGCGCGCAGGCGGGAUAAAAAGUCAGUGGUGAAAUCCUACAGCUUAACUGUAGAACUGCCUUUGAUACUUUUAUUCUUGAGUUCGGGAGAGAGAGACGGAAUUCCAGGUGUAGUGGUGAAAUACGUAGAUAUCUGGAAGAACACCAGUUGCGAAGGCGGUCUCUUGGUCCGACACUGACGCUGAGGCGCGAAAGCGUGGGGAGCAAACA
RNAcentral lists this ribosomal RNA (427 nucleotides) under uncultured bacterium. Its description in RNAcentral is "bacterial SSU rRNA". It matches the Rfam family "Bacterial small subunit ribosomal RNA", at positions 355 to 774 of the family's 1533-position model. The record is from RNAcentral.